Molecule: transfer RNA, 72 nt
Filed under: Trichonephila inaurata madagascariensis
Lineage: Eukaryota; Metazoa; Arthropoda; Arachnida; Araneae; Nephilidae
Rfam family: tRNA
About the family: Transfer RNA (tRNA) molecules are approximately 80 nucleotides in length. Their secondary structure includes four short double-helical elements and three loops (D, anti-codon, and T loops). Further hydrogen bonds mediate the characteristic L-shaped molecular structure. tRNAs have two regions of fundamental functional importance: the anti-codon, which is responsible for specific mRNA codon recognition, and the 3' end, to which the tRNAs corresponding amino acid is attached (by aminoacyl-tRNA synthetases). tRNAs cope with the degeneracy of the genetic code in two manners: having more than one tRNA (with a specific anti-codon) for a particular amino acid; and 'wobble' base-pairing, i.e. permitting non-standard base-pairing at the 3rd anti-codon position.
Source: Rfam by way of RNAcentral
GUCCGCGUGGCCUAAUGGAUAAGGCGUCUGACUUCGAAUCAGAAGAUUGCAGGUUCAAUCCUGUCUCGGACG